This 345-nucleotide unclassified non-coding RNA is filed under the name soil metagenome. Its description in RNAcentral is "partial contains 5.8S ribosomal RNA, internal transcribed spacer 2, and large subunit ribosomal RNA". The stretch from base 1 to 119 matches the Rfam family "5.8S ribosomal RNA", at positions 35 to 154 of the family's 154-position model. The record is from RNAcentral.
GAUGAAGAACGCAGCUAAAUGCGAUACGUAAUGUGAAUUGCAAAUUCAGUGAAUCAUCGAGUCUUUGAACGCACAUUGCGCCCCCUGGUAUUCCGGGGGGCAUGCCUGUCCGAGCGUCAUUGCUGCCCUCAAGCACGGCUUGUGUGUUGGGCCCCGUCCUCCGAUCCCGGGGGACGGGCCCGAAAGGCAGCGGCGGCACCGCGUCCGGUCCUCGAGCGUAUGGGGCUUUGUCACCCGCUCUGUAGGCCCGGCCGGCGCUUGCCGAUCAACCCAAAUUUUUAUCCAGGUUGACCUCGGAUCAGGUAGGGAUACCCGCUGAACUUAAGCAUAUCAAUAAGCGGAGGA